This 497-nucleotide ribosomal RNA is filed under the name uncultured bacterium. RNAcentral describes it as "partial 16S ribosomal RNA". It matches the Rfam family "Bacterial small subunit ribosomal RNA", at positions 28 to 507 of the family's 1533-position model. The record is from RNAcentral.
GACGAACGCUGGCGGCGUGCCUAAUACAUGCAAGUAGAACGCUGAAGCGAGGAGCUUGCUCUUCUUGGAUGAGUUGCGAACGGGUGAGUAACGCGUAGGUAACCUGCCUUGUAGCGGGGGAUAACUAUUGGAAACGAUAGCUAAUACCGCAUAACAAUGGAUGACACAUUUCGUUUAUUUGAAAUGCGCAAUUUUUCCAUUACAAGAUGGACCUGCGUUGUAUUAGCUAGGAGGUGAGGUAAUGGCUCACCUAGGCGGCGAUACAUAGCCGAACUGAGAGGGUGGUCGGCCACACUGGGACUGAGACCCGGCCCAUGCGCCUACAGGAGGCAGCAGUAGGGAAUCUUAGGCAAUGGGGGCAAUACUGACCGAGAAACGCAGAGUGAGUGAAGAAGGUUUUCGGGUCGUAAAGCUCGGUUGUAAGUGAAGAACGGGUGUGAGAGUGGAAAGUUCACACUGUGACGGUAGCUUACCAGAAAGGGACGGCUAACUACGUG